RNAcentral lists this long non-coding RNA (1049 nucleotides) under Vulpes vulpes (red fox). RNAcentral describes it as "lncRNA (ENSVVUG00000001554.1)". Lineage: Eukaryota; Metazoa; Chordata; Mammalia; Carnivora; Canidae. The record is from RNAcentral.
AUCGAUUCCAAUGAUGGGUUCCCUUCUCUCAUAGAGCUCGUUGUGAAACCCAGCCCCAUGUUCCUACCUUCUUGACCUCUUCCAAAACCAUUUCUGCCUCUGUAGAUCCACAUAUGCUGUCAUGUCUCUUGAAUGGUUUUGCACUUGAUUUCAACCGUCAAAAGACGGUGGGCUUGUGCAAUGUUGGGCAAUCCUUCAUCUGUUCUUUUUUAGUCUAUUACUCUGUUGUUUUUAUUCAUUAAUCUGUCGUUAUCAAAAUCAACCAUUAUGGGAGAGAUUUAAAUACCGAAUGUGUACCAUUUACAAAUAACCAUAGUUGUGAAAAAGAGCGGAGAGGGCAGGCUUCCACAUGUACAUCAAAGCAGUCACAGGGUGAAAGGUCCAGCAUAGGGAAUAUGAUCAAUGGAAUGGUAUUAGUGCUCUAUGGGGACCCAAAGAAUCUAUGCUUGGGGUGAGUGCAGUUUCAAUGAACGUAAGUGCCAAUCAUAGGUGGUACACCUGAAACAGAUGUAACCUUGUGGGUCAUCUUCACCCGAAUUUAAAAGCCGUAAUAAUGUGGUCAGCGGGGUGGUUCCUUCGGUUGAGCAUCUCUCUUUGGCUCGUGUCAUGAUCCCAGGGUCCUGGGUUACAAAAUAUUAUGCAUAUGUCAAAACACACCCAAAUGCAGCGCAGUUCUUAAUAGAAGUGGUCGACGUCAAUGAUAAUAAUAUCGCUACGCCGUUUUCUUGUAAUAAAUGUUCCACACUGAUGUUGGUGAGAAUAACUGUGGACGUUUUGUGCCAAACGAUAGGGUGACGGGUUUUUAUAGUAUAUGCUGCAUUAUGAUAUCAACCUAACCUUAACGUCAAGAAUAUGCUCUAUUUCUUAAAACACAAUAAGAGUUUUAUUUGCUAAUAUUAAACACGGACAAAUAUGUCCAAAUGUUAACUUACAACACUUCCCAUUAAAUCUGACCAAAUUAGAGUUCUCAAUGCGAUUUCACUAUUUUGGACACAAACUAAUGACUGACCUUUUAAAUUAAGAUGUGGACACAUGAAACAUAAACAAUA